CAUAGCGACUAUCGUGGCAUAUCAAUAAGCGGAGGAAAAGAAACUAACAAGGAUUCCCUUAGUAACGGCGAGUGAAGCGGGAAGAGCUCAAAUUUGAAAUCUUCAAGGGUUUACCUUGACGAAUUGUAGUUUAAAGAAGUGUUUUCUGUUAGAGAGGUUCGGUAAAAGUUCUUUGGAAUAGGACAUCAUAGAGGGUGAGAAUCCCGUAUUUGACCUAUUACUUUCCUAGCUGUGUGAUACACUUUCAAAGAGUCGGAUUGUUUGGGAAUGCAGUCCAAAAUGGGUGGUAAAUUUCAUCUAAAGCUAAAUAUUGGCGGAGAGACCGAUAGCGAACAAGUACCGUGAGGGAAAGAUGAAAAGAACUUUGAAAAGAGAGUUAAACAGUACGUGAAAUUGUCAAAAGGGAAGCGUUUGACACCAGUGUUGUUUUUCCGAAAAUCAAUUACGAAUGUUUUAUUUUUGAGAAGUUAUGACUUCAUCGGCUUGCUUCUUUCUUUACGAAACUUUCUUAAUGCACUUUUCGGUUAACAAGUCAACAUCAAUUUCUUUUGUUGUAAAAGGGUAUGAGGAAGGUGGCUUUCUUUUCGGAGAAAGUGUUUAUAGCCUUUGGCUUCUGCAGUCGGAGAGAUUGAGGUCUGCAGCGUAGAUCCUUCGGGGUUAGAUGCAUUUGUGCUAAGUUAUAGCCUUUCAUAGACGACUUGUUGACUAUGAUCAGUCAUGUAGCUUACUCGCUUAUGUCAUUUUACCUACGCUUAGGAUGUUGAUAUGCAUGACUGAUAU
RNAcentral lists this ribosomal RNA (780 nucleotides) under uncultured Neocallimastigales. RNAcentral's name for it is "partial large subunit ribosomal RNA". It matches the Rfam family "Eukaryotic large subunit ribosomal RNA", at positions 22 to 643 of the family's 3401-position model. The record is from RNAcentral. Lineage: Eukaryota; Fungi; Neocallimastigomycota; Neocallimastigomycetes; Neocallimastigales.